UACGUAGGGGGCAAGCGUUGUCCGGAUUUAUUGGGCGUAAAGAGCGUGUAGGCGGCCAGGUAGGUCUGCUGUGAAAACUCGAGGCUUAACCUCGAGCUGUCGGCGGAAACCAUCUGGCUAGAGUCCGGAAGAGGAGAAUGGAAUUCCCGGUGUAGCGGUGAAAUGCGUAGAUAUCAAGAGGAACACCUGCGGCGAAGGCGGGUUGCUGGGCUGACACUGACGCUGAGGCGCGAAAGCUAGGGGAGCGAACGGG
This 253-nucleotide ribosomal RNA is filed under the name uncultured bacterium. RNAcentral's name for it is "partial 16S ribosomal RNA". It matches the Rfam family "Bacterial small subunit ribosomal RNA", at positions 524 to 776 of the family's 1533-position model. The record is from RNAcentral.